GACAGAGGGGGCAAGCGUUGCUCGGAAUCACUGGGCGUAAAGGGCGCGUAGGCGGGAUGGCAAGUCGGUCGUGAAAUCCUUCGGCUCAACCGAAGAACGUCGGCCGAUACUGCCGUUCUUGAGGGAUGCAGAGGAGAUUGGAAUUCCCGGUGUAGCGGUGAAAUGUGUAGAGAUCCGGAAGAACACCGGUGGCGAAGGCGGCCUGCUGGGCAGUUGCUGACACUGAGGCGCGACAGCGUGGGGAGCAAACAGG
RNAcentral lists this ribosomal RNA (253 nucleotides) under uncultured bacterium. Its description in RNAcentral is "partial 16S ribosomal RNA". It matches the Rfam family "Bacterial small subunit ribosomal RNA", at positions 524 to 776 of the family's 1533-position model. The record is from RNAcentral.